RNAcentral lists this ribosomal RNA (497 nucleotides) under uncultured bacterium. RNAcentral describes it as "partial 16S ribosomal RNA". It matches the Rfam family "Bacterial small subunit ribosomal RNA", at positions 28 to 507 of the family's 1533-position model. The record is from RNAcentral.
GAUGAACGCUGGCGGCGUGCCUAAUACAUGCCAGUCGAGCGAACGGACGAGAAGCUUGCUUCUCUGAUGUUAGCGGCGGACGGGUGAGUAACACGUGGAUAACCUACCUAUAAGACUGGGAUAACUUCGGGAAACCGUAGCUAAUACCGGAUAAUAUUUUAAACCGCAUGGUUCAAAAGUGAAAGACGGUCUUGCUGUCACUUAUAGAUGGAUCCGCGCUGCAUUAGCUAGUUGGUAAGGUAACGGCUUACCAAGGCAACGAUGCAUAGCCGACCUGAGAGGGUGAUCGGCCACACUGGAACUGAGACACGGUCCAGACUCCUACGGGAGGCAGCAGUAGGGAAUCUUCCGCAAUGGGCGAAAGCCUGACGGAGCAACGCCGCGUGAGUGAUGAAGGUCUUCGGAUCGUAAAACUCUGUUAUUAGGGAAGAACAUAUGUGUAAGUAACUGUGCACAUCUUGACGGUACCUAAUCAGAAAGCCACGGCUAACUACGUG